CGGGGUGAGUAAUAUGUAGGAAUCUACCUAGAGGUGAGGGAUAACUUAGGGAAACUUAAGCUAAUACCACAUAAGCCCCACGGGGGAAAGCAGGGGCUCUUCGGACCUUGCGCCUUAUGAUGAGCCUACAUCGGAUUAGCUUGUUGGUGGGGUAAAGGCCUACCAAGGCGACGAUCCGUAGCUGGUCUGAGAGGAUGAUCAGCCACACUGGGACUGAGACACGGCCCAG
This 229-nucleotide ribosomal RNA is filed under the name uncultured bacterium. Its description in RNAcentral is "partial 16S ribosomal RNA". It matches the Rfam family "Bacterial small subunit ribosomal RNA", at positions 104 to 334 of the family's 1533-position model. The record is from RNAcentral.